AGAGUUUGAUCCUGGCUCAGGAUGAACGCUAGCUACAGGCUUAACACAUGCAAGUCGAGGGGCAGCAUGGUCUUAGCUUGCUAAGGCCGAUGGCGACCGGCGCACGGGUGAGUAACGCGUAUCCAACCUGCCUUACACUCUUGGACAGCCUUCUGAAAGGGAGAUUAAUACAAGAUGUUAUCAUGAGUAAGCAUUUUCGCAUGAUUAAAGGUUUACCGGUGUAAGAUGGGGAUGCGUUCCAUUAGAUAGUAGGCGGGGUAACGGCCCACCUAGUCUUCGAUGGAUAGGGGUUCUGAGAGGAAGGUCCCCCACAUUGGAACUGAGACACGGUCCAAACUCCUACGGGAGGCAGCAGUGAGGAAUAUUGGUCAAUGGACGAGAGUCUGAACCAGCCAAGUAGCGUGAAGGAUGAAGGUUCUAUGGAUUGUAAACUUCUUUUAUACGGGAAUAAACGGAUCCACGCGUGGAUUUUUGCAUGUACCGUAUGAAUAAGGAUCGGCUAACUCCGUGCCAGCAGCCGCGGUAAUACGGAGGAUCCGAGCGUUAUCCGGAUUUAUUGGGUUUAAAGGGAGCGUAGAUGGGUUGUUAAGUCAGUUGUGAAAGUUUGCGGCUCAACCGUAAAAUUGCAAUUGAUACAGGCAGUCUUGAGUACAGUUGAGGUAGGCGGAAUUCGUGGUGUAGCGGUGAAAUGCUUAGAUAUCACGAAGAACUCCGAUUGCGAAGGCAGCUUACUAACCUGUAACUGACAUUGAUGCUCGAAAGUGUGGGUAUCAAACAGGAUUAGAUACCCUGGUAGUCCACACGGUAAACGAUGAAUACUCGCUGUAGGCGAUAUACAGUCUGCGGCCAAGCGAAAGCAUUAAGUAUUCCACCUGGGGAGUACGCCGGCAACGGUGAAACUCAAAGGAAUUGACGGGGGCCCGCACAAGCGGAGGAACAUGUGGUUUAAUUCGAUGAUACGCGAGGAACCUUACCCGGGCUUAAAUUGCAACCGAAUAUGGCGGAAACGCUAUAGCUAGCAAUAGCGGUUGUGAAGGUGCUGCAUGGUUGUCGUCAGCUCGUGCCGUGAGGUGUCGGCUUAAGUGCCAUAACGAGCGCAACCCUUGCCGAUAGUUACUAACAGGUUAUGCUGAGGACUCUGUCGGGACUGCCAUCGUAAGAUGUGAGGAAGGUGGGGAUGACGUCAAAUCAGCACGGCCCUUACGUCCGGGGCUACACACGUGUUACAAUGGGGGGUACAGAGGGCUGCUACCACGCAAGUGGAUGCCAAUCCCAAAAACCUCUCUCAGUUCGGAUUGAAGUCUGCAACCCGACUUCAUGAAGCUGGAUUCGCUAGUAAUCGCGCAUCAGCCACGGCGCGGUGAAUACGUUCCCGGGCCUUGUACACACCGCCCGUCAAGCCAUGGGAGCCGGGGGUACCUGAAGUGCGUAACCGCAAGGAGCGCCCUAGGGUAAAACUGGUGACUGGGGCUAAGUCGUAACAAGGUAGCC
RNAcentral lists this ribosomal RNA (1491 nucleotides) under uncultured bacterium. RNAcentral describes it as "bacterial SSU rRNA". It matches the Rfam family "Bacterial small subunit ribosomal RNA". The record is from RNAcentral.